CGCUGCCCGCGACUCUGCGAGAAGUCCAUUGAACCUUAUCAUUUAGAGGAAGGAGAAGUCGUAACAAGGUUUCCGUAGGUGAACCUGCGGAAGGAUCAUUG
Molecule: ribosomal RNA, 101 nt
Filed under: Sarcoglottis uliginosa
Lineage: Eukaryota; Viridiplantae; Streptophyta; Magnoliopsida; Asparagales; Orchidaceae
Description: partial 18S ribosomal RNA
Rfam family: Eukaryotic small subunit ribosomal RNA
Source: RNAcentral